Molecule: transfer RNA, 89 nt
Filed under: Cronartium ribicola 11-2
Lineage: Eukaryota; Fungi; Basidiomycota; Pucciniomycetes; Pucciniales; Coleosporiaceae
Description: tRNA-Thr (CGT) (tRNA-Thr-CGT-8-1)
Rfam family: tRNA
About the family: Transfer RNA (tRNA) molecules are approximately 80 nucleotides in length.
Source: RNAcentral
GGUCAAGUAGCCUAGUGGUUAAGGCAGCCCAUGCGUGUUGGGUCUGGAUCCAUUGGAUCUGGUUGCUGGUUCAAAUCCAGCCCUGACCA